CGGGGAGUGGCGCAGUUUGGUAGCGCACCUGUUUUGGGAACAGGGGGUCGCAGGUUCAAAUCCUGUCUCCCCGACCA
RNAcentral lists this transfer RNA (77 nucleotides) under Candidatus Hippobium faecium. RNAcentral's name for it is "tRNA-Pro". It matches the Rfam family "tRNA". Rfam says of the family: Transfer RNA (tRNA) molecules are approximately 80 nucleotides in length. Their secondary structure includes four short double-helical elements and three loops (D, anti-codon, and T loops). The record is from RNAcentral. Lineage: Bacteria; Bacillati; Armatimonadota.